AGUAAGGCUUUAUUAAAAGCCACACACUCCUUAAGAAUCAAGCAC
This is a non-coding RNA of Filimonas lacunae, 45 nucleotides long. The record is from Rfam. NCBI's taxonomy places the organism in Bacteria, Pseudomonadati, Bacteroidota, Chitinophagia, Chitinophagales, Chitinophagaceae.